Molecule: long non-coding RNA, 773 nt
Organism: Prionailurus viverrinus (fishing cat)
Lineage: Eukaryota; Metazoa; Chordata; Mammalia; Carnivora; Felidae
Exons: 3
Source: RefSeq, a predicted model, not a curated record
GCCAGCGUCCCCAUACAUUGCUACAAAGUCCAUCUUGGCCUACAUGAAUGGAGAGAUGGAGUGUGGAUCAGAGGAGCUAACUCUGCUGUCCUCUGUGCUGGCUUCUUGGUCUGGAACCUCAUAAUUCACCUGUCGAUUACACUAUAGAAAGAACCUUGAAAACGAAUCCAAGAGACAGUGAUGAACAUUUUGAGGAAUCUAGAAACCAUGCUGCACGGAGGCGCUGCCCUUCUCGGAAGGUUAAAAGCUAAGCCGGCUCUGUAGGAAGCAGCUCCAGUGUUUAGCCAAGUCUGGUGGAGUCAUUUGCCCUGCCUCCGUGCAGUGAGCUUGAGUCGGCACUUUUCCACUCUGCGGAUGGGAAGCGUGGCAGUAAACUGGCAGGCUAGUCUGAUGGCACCGAGCAGGGCUUUGGAGGCUGACGUUCACACCACAGCAUCUUCAAGACCCACAGCCUUUUCAUGCAGAUACGCAGGAAUAAGACUCCUUCCCCGUGCCUUACCCGGCAGAUUCUACAGGAAAGAGAAAAGCAGAAGGAAAAGAACACUGGUGUUGAAUUUACUAAGAAAAGUCCUGUUUUCUUCACAACAUAUUUUACAACGUACGGUUACGUCACUGUCGUUGACCUGUGAGCAUUUUUCCAUGCCCAUGGCCCCUACGAGGCUGCAAGCUCCCUGAGGACAGACAGGAGCCAGCCCUCAAGCUCCCUGAGGACAGACAGGAGCCAGCCCUGUUCGUUAGGUCUGCAGAGUCUCAUAUUGUGCUCAUACUGUUGC